Molecule: ribosomal RNA, 251 nt
Filed under: Triticum aestivum (bread wheat)
Lineage: Eukaryota; Viridiplantae; Streptophyta; Magnoliopsida; Poales; Poaceae
Description: partial small subunit ribosomal RNA
Source: RNAcentral
CUUGGAAAGUGUUGGUAUGGAGGGCAACCGUGGAUACGACUAGCCAUGGAAAGUGAAAGUAUGGUGGAAAAAUGAAUAAACUUUAUUUUCUGUUUGGGAACCGCCUAUGAUAUAUCUAUGCAUGGAAAGUAUUGGGAACUCUAAGUCGUUUUCGUUGGUGGGAUGGAUACACCUCCCAAAAUGUUUUUAUCUCUAAGUUUUUCGCUUUGAGCUCUGGCACCUCUACAAAUCCCUACUUCCCUCUGCGAAGG